GGCUGGUCCAAUGGUAGUAGGUUAUCAGAACUUAUUAACAUUAAUGUCACUAAAGUUGGUAUUCAACCCCCCACUGCUAAAUUUUUUGACUAGCUUUAA
Molecule: Y RNA, 99 nt
Filed under: Propithecus coquereli (Coquerel's sifaka)
Lineage: Eukaryota; Metazoa; Chordata; Mammalia; Primates; Indriidae
Description: Y RNA (ENSPCOG00000000471.1)
Rfam family: Y RNA
About the family: Y RNAs are components of the Ro ribonucleoprotein particle (Ro RNP), in association with Ro60 and La proteins. The Y RNAs and Ro60 and La proteins are well conserved, but the function of the Ro RNP is not known.
Source: Rfam by way of RNAcentral